CUACCUGCACAUUACCCACAAGAUAUUCAGUAAACAUCCAAGUAUCUUCUCUCUUUUUUUAACAAAAAAACUCUAAUAAAUCAUUAUUCAAUUCACUUAGUAAGAUUAAUAAUCCAAAAGGUUUCCAAUGCNAGCAAGAUGGCGGUCGAGGUCGUGUAUUUUUUGAUACUAAUGUUAUCAGGAGCUGUCGUUUUUGGCAUUCAUUGGAAAUAUGGUUUAUGCUGUAGCGUAAGUGCUCGAAGAACUUGGCAAAGAAGAACAAAAAUGGAAUAAAGGAAAAGUGCUAAAUUGCAUAAGACUGGUUUUGAAUGCAGCAACCAUGCCUGUANUGGAAAUGUUUCUCCUUGGAGCUCUCGUNACUGGUCUGACGAUGGUCGACAUUUAUCUCUUGAACAAGUUAUGCGAAGACAAGACGAAUGCNCAGCGAGAUAAGAAACACAACAGGGUCCUGAUUCCAUACUCAAACUCCUACUUCCCAGUACGGUGAAUGUUGAACUCUCAAAAUGACUGGUUUAAAAACUACCAACACUGGACUUACAGAACUGAUAGUUAACCAAAGUAUUGUGUUAUUAAGUUGUAUAUGUGUGAAUCAAUGUUGUAAUUGUACGGUCGACAUGAUAAAUUAUUCUUAUACAUUCACAUCAAACGCAUGUUAGAAUAAACAUUUUCAAGAGCAAGAUUAUCUCAUCCAUUUUUUUUUUCUUUGAAGAGAAUUUGAUCGAGUUUAUUUGGCAUGAACUUUACACUUUACAUAUAGUUCCUCAUCGUGGUCGCGCGCACAUCUUGGACAUCAAUAGUUUUAUCAAUAUGUUGUUUUUGCCAAGUUUUGCAAGUGUGUAAGUACCAACAGAAGUAAUUGCAAUUAUCACAUUGGCAAAGUAUAUAUACUUAUUUAAACUAGAAAAAAAAAAAACAAUUCAGUUUUUCUGGCGAUUUUAUUUAUUCCUAGAAAUGAGAAAAACGCGAGCGCCCUGCAGUAGUCAACCUUAUCUAUACAGAAAACAAGAAAUAUAAACAAAAAACAAGAAAUAUAUAUAUCUUGAAGCCAAAUUUUGCUCUUGAAAAUGGAUUCAAAAUAUUCUCUUUGGUUUUGCUAGCUGCAUUUUAGAGAAAUAAUCUGUUGCUUUCUGUAAAGUUAAAAUUAGUUUUAAAAAUGACGUUUAAAUCAUACUCGAAUCCUCUGGGCCACCAGCAAAAACCAUCAAUAAUNGAUGUNCCGUGAAGUAAACAAGCUUACUUCAACACGAAUACUUGAAAUACAGCUCCAAUUUUCAAAGCAAACGUUCAAGGACUGUGAUAAAUGACGGAGUGCAAUGAUGGUUGAGUUAUUGGCACUUGGAACCAUUGCUUUAGUGACGAUAUUAGACGUUUAUAUGAUUAAAAGAUUGUUCUGCAAGAAAGAGAAGGCUGCAGAUACUGAUGUCUACCGAGCUAACCAAGAUGGCCACGGUUCUUACCGACUGUGAGAAAGGCUGCAAGAUUUCAGCAAGGGACUCUUAGAGAACUUUUAGUGACAUUCAUGGCGUUGUAAAGGAAAUACCUUGAAAAUACUGGAAAGGGACUGUAUCCAAGUUGCAAAAAUUACCAAUCUUUUCUUGGAAAAGAAUAUAAUUUCAUAUCGGAAUCCGCACUAUAGAAUAAUUUACUAGUUGAGUAGUACUCACCGGAUUGUAGCUUAUAUUUGGUAUUCAAAUGCGCAAAUGAUUCAAGAACUUUUCGUUCAGAAAAAGGAGAUUUAUCGAGAGAAAAACAUUUCAAUAAAGUUGAAAAUAAUGUACGAAGAAUUUAAUACCAAUCAACACUACAUAAUUUCAAUUGAUUGUAAAACUGAGAAAUAAAAUGUUCAAUCUCACACUGUUACAUUCAUAGUAUUCUUUACUGAUGGCUAAUAUGAUUUGUUAAAAAUGAUAAGCAUUGCUCUAAAAGUGCAAUAGCACAUUUCUGGAAGACGGAGACAGGGUUGUUUUUGUCGAUGAAUUGGCAUUGUUCCAAACCAUCAAUCCCGAUCUAUCGUGCGAUAACCUCAACAUUUAACGUUUUUGGUCAAUAUUUUGUCCCAUAAGUUCUUUAACUGUGAGCGAGAUAACAUGUUUGUGGAGAUAUUUGCAGCUGGCAGUGUUCUGAUAGCAUUGGCAGUUGAAUCCUUUCUACUUAAGAACAUCUGCAACGGAGGAAUUAUCCCAUAUCCAUACUAUCUUCGNGAACGUAAGGAGCAAUCUANUUGAACUCAUAGCUUUCAAGUGUAAAGAGCUGAAGAUGGUUUUCGUUGAAGCAUUCAUUGGAUUCACAGCGUUCUCCGUUGUAUCAAUCAAUGUUUUUCUUGUUAAGAAGCUAUUUGAUGAUAAGCCGAUCGAGAGGAAGUUUUUGCCAGUUUACUUCCCUUUCCCAACAAGACAUGGGAAUUUUAAGACACCAGCGCAAGAUCGUGACUGGAAAACAACUGCAUCGACAUAGAUUCUUCUGCAUUAAAACCGAUCGAAGAAACGUUAUUAUUACUUGCACUGAAUAAACAAAGACUGCACCAUAUGAAGAAACAGGACACAGUGGUAGUUUUUGUCAAGAAAGGUAAAGGAACUAGCUCUUUUGAAAAAUGCAGCGAACUUGCAGAUGAGCCUGGCAAAAACAAAUAACUGAACGGACUUACAAGAAAACGUUANAAACGUGGAAAUCAUGCAUCCAAUCUUUUUUUGCACAUUGUGAAUUAUUAUAAGAAAACUGUAUGCCUGCAUAGUAAAAUUAAAUCUUGUUAACUCGA
This 2755-nucleotide long non-coding RNA is filed under the name Exaiptasia diaphana. RNAcentral describes it as "uncharacterized LOC114574960". Lineage: Eukaryota; Metazoa; Cnidaria; Anthozoa; Actiniaria; Aiptasiidae. The record is from RNAcentral.